CCUACGGGUGGCAGCAGUGAGGAAUAUUGGUCAAUGGGCGCGAGCCUGAACCAGCCAAGUCGCGUGAGGGAAGACGGCCCUACGGGUUGUAAACCUCUUUUGCCGGGGAGCAACGGGCGCCACGUGUGGCGCCACUGAGAGUACCCGGAAAAAAAGCAUCGGCUAACUCCGUGCCAGCAGCCGCGGUAAUACGGAGGAUGCGAGCGUUAUCCGGAUUUAUUGGGUUUAAAGGGUGCGUAGGCGGAGCGUUAAGUCAGUGGUAAAAUUGAGGGGCUAAACCCCUUCCCGCCAGUGAAACUGGCGCUCUUGAGUGGAAGAGAAGUAUGCGGAAGGCGUGGUGUAGCGGUGAAAUGCAUAGAUAUCACGCAGAACCCCGAUUGCGAAGGCAGCUUGCCGGCUUCCUACUGACGCUGAAGCACGAAGGCGUGGGGAUCGAACAGGAUUAGAUACCCGGGUAGUC
RNAcentral lists this ribosomal RNA (460 nucleotides) under uncultured bacterium. RNAcentral's name for it is "partial 16S ribosomal RNA". It matches the Rfam family "Bacterial small subunit ribosomal RNA", at positions 338 to 795 of the family's 1533-position model. The record is from RNAcentral.